AGCAAAAGGGCGUACGAGUAUAUCUGGUGUUUAAAUAUAGUUUCAAGACUUUUAUUUGAAGCCGAGAUCAAGGAGGACUUAGAUAUUUUGAAUCAAGGAUAUUUGUACCUGGUUGCUGUCUUAUAAUAAUUUGCCUGACUUCAAUAAAG
This is a long non-coding RNA of Episyrphus balteatus (marmalade hoverfly), 149 nucleotides long. RefSeq lists it as uncharacterized. The record is from RefSeq and is a predicted model, not a curated record. The transcript is spliced from 2 exons. Lineage: Eukaryota; Metazoa; Arthropoda; Insecta; Diptera; Syrphidae.